RNAcentral lists this unclassified non-coding RNA (381 nucleotides) under Hevea brasiliensis (rubber tree). Lineage: Eukaryota; Viridiplantae; Streptophyta; Magnoliopsida; Malpighiales; Euphorbiaceae. The record is from RNAcentral.
AUUUUGAGCAUAAAUCAAAACUUAUGAGUUAAAUUUGAUCAAAAGUUAAAAAUAAGCUAAAUUGAACCUCUCCAACAAAUACAGGGGGCAAAUUGAACCUUAUUCCGUUUAUGUUAAAAGCAAGUUAGCGGUCAGUCUUAAAAAAAAAAUGUUUGUGGUCACUACACCCAACUAAUAAGAAAUUAAGAAAUUAUGUUAUGUAGUGAGACCUACCAUGUUUUGUGAUGAGACCCAUGUUUUAUAGUGGGAUUGAUUAUUAUUUUAAUGAUAAGCCAGUUAUUAAUUGAAUGAGUAUAUACAGUAAGAAGUCCUUGACAAGCCAAGACUCCUGCAGUCAUGCACUUUUUCACUUGCUUUCUCAUUAGAUUUUUUACAUAGUAG